AAUCAACGCUGGCGGCGUGCCUAACACAUGCAAGUCGAACGCGAAAGUGGAGCAAUCCAUGAGUAGAGUGGCAGACGGGUGAGUAACGCGUGGGCGACCUACCUUCGAGUGGGGGAUAACCUUCCGAAAGGAGGGCUAAUACCGCAUGACAUCCCGUGUUUGGAUACACGGACAUCAAAGCCGGGGAUCGUAAGACCUGGCGCUUGAAGAGGGGCCCGCGUCCGAUUAGCUAGUUGGUGAGGUAACGGCUCACCAAGGCUCCGAUCGGUAUCCGGCCUGAGAGGGCGGACGGACACACUGGAACUGAGACACGGUCCAGACUCCUACGGGAGGCAGCAGUGGGGAAUUGUUCGCAAUGGGCGCAAGCCUGACGACGCAACGCCGCGUGGAGGAUGAAGACUUUCGGU
RNAcentral lists this ribosomal RNA (407 nucleotides) under uncultured bacterium. RNAcentral describes it as "bacterial SSU rRNA". It matches the Rfam family "Bacterial small subunit ribosomal RNA", at positions 32 to 423 of the family's 1533-position model. The record is from RNAcentral.